AUAGUGCUCGGUUACGGGAUCACACUAGACUAUCGCACACAGCCAGAUUGCAUGUCCUACUCACAAAGAGUAAACAACUCACCACAAGCUCUAUUCUCCAUGAGUAGGCUACACAAACACUAGCUGUAGGUAACCUACAUGGUCACGCUAGACUCGACAUGCAAUCUCAAUAACACACAUGUCAUAGUCACCUACAUGGUGAAUCUAGACACAACCACUCAACUACUAGCAGCACAUGCUACACAACAACGCAAUCAGACAUGCAUUAACUACAAUCGGCAUGUGAGAGUUCCACUCAAAUCACCAUGCGAUUCACAACAAUGUCUAGAUAAGCAUGCUACAACUUAACAACUACCUUAUCUAGACAAGCAUGCUACACAAUUUCUACACAAUGCAUGCUACACAACCAUCUGUUCAAGUCUAGAUACACAUACAACACCAUUUCCACAACAAUGCAUGCGAUUUACUAUCAUCAAGACAAGCAUGAAAAUAAAUACACAACCACACAAGCAUUCUAUCAACCUAAACACACAAUCAAGCACUCAAUAAUACAACAACACACACGCAUGGAGUCUAGCACACUCCCAUGCGGUUCACACACAAACCGCUCCUCGGUUUUACUUAAAGACACGCUUGGUUUAAGCUCUUCCCUGCAACCACACAUGGUUAGCACAUACAGAAAACACCUCCGUAACCCACCUAAGCCUUCUUACAAAGGAGAAAGGCCACGCUCACAGCCAGAACACUCUCCUACACGGUUAGGCCACGCUCACAGCCAGAACACUCUCCUACACGGUUCCACCUAGUUUUUACCAAAAACCGGUUUAGGAAGGCUAAAGGCUCAAGGGUACAAAACAGUUUUCAAACACAAAAUCAAAACCUUACCACCCAUUCUAGCACCACACCACAGAUCCUAGAGUAAGGAUUAGCCAUCACAAAGCCUCCUAACACUCACCUCACACACUUAGAGAUUUUUAUCGGUUUUUAGCAAUUUUCUCUCCCAAUCACUAACAACAAGAAUGACUUGAGAGAGAAAGCAC
Molecule: long non-coding RNA, 1040 nt
Filed under: Brassica napus (rape)
Lineage: Eukaryota; Viridiplantae; Streptophyta; Magnoliopsida; Brassicales; Brassicaceae
Description: long non-coding RNA (BNAP_LNC020559)
Source: RNAcentral